This 148-nucleotide small nucleolar RNA is filed under the name Moschus moschiferus (Siberian musk deer). RNAcentral's name for it is "Small nucleolar RNA SNORA79 (ENSMMSG00000002718.1)". It matches the Rfam family "Small nucleolar RNA SNORA79". From Rfam's summary of the family: ACA65 (SNORA79) is a member of the H/ACA class of snoRNAs that guide the sites of modification of uridines to pseudouridines. This snoRNA was identified by computational screening and its expression in mouse experimentally verified by Northern blot and primer extension analysis. The record is from Rfam by way of RNAcentral. Lineage: Eukaryota; Metazoa; Chordata; Mammalia; Artiodactyla; Moschidae.
UGAUGGCUGUUCUUCUCACUGCCUGGAGCCUUAAGUAGUGGGGGUUUGACACAUCAUAUAUCCAAACUGACUUGUCUUCACUCAGAGCACUCCGGGGAUGAGUUGGCUAUGGGGUAGCACCUAACGAUUCUUGCGGAGUCAAAACGAC